GGGGGUGACCAAUAGUCGAAAAAUACGCCCGCUGCCAUUUCGCAAUCCGUCACUGCUUGAUGUGACGCAAAUACCUCAAGCACUCACACAAAUGCAAAAAGCAUUGUAAGCAGAGCAACAGACGCGAUCGCGCGAGCGUUCGCCGUUCCAAGCUUUGCGCCAGUUGUAGCCUAAUACGCUCGCAACCGUCAGCACCCUAGGCCUGAAUGGGGUGAUCCUGGCGCCAUACUUCAGGACGCAGCCGGAGUGAGCCUCGCGCCCCGGUAAAGCAUACGAGGAUAGUGGUACGCAUGUUUUGCCCGUUUAGAGUGCGUGCCGCGAAUACACUAAACAGGCUAUGAUUGUAGACACAUGCCAGCGCACUAUUUUCACGCGGGAGAAUAGCCCGCCACCUCCACCA
This 400-nucleotide transfer-messenger RNA is filed under the name bacterium. It matches the Rfam family "transfer-messenger RNA". Rfam says of the family: Bacterial tmRNA, also known as 10Sa RNA or SsrA, is named for its dual tRNA and mRNA-like properties. Its role is to liberate the mRNA from a stalled ribosome. To accomplish this part of the tmRNA is used as a reading frame that ends in a translation stop signal. RNAcentral also lists the same sequence under 1 other name. The record is from RNAcentral.